Molecule: non-coding RNA, 1592 nt
Organism: Oryzias latipes (Japanese medaka)
Lineage: Eukaryota; Metazoa; Chordata; Actinopteri; Beloniformes; Adrianichthyidae
Source: the annotation of a RefSeq genome assembly
AGGAAAGACAGUUCUCACGGGAUUAGGGUAUUAAAUAGAAGAAUGUGGACAUUUUUCGCAGUAAACAUUUUUAUUUUCAUUGAUGUUAACAAACUUAAUAUUUUAUCAUCCAAAUGUAGAAUAUCACUGUGACAGCUAUAUUGACUAUUGAGGGACACCAGUUACAUAAGUUCUGCCACUCCUACUCAGGCUCCAACGGCCGUGAUUGGUCUGAUGCCAUGCGGCCCUCAAAGUAGAGACACGGUCACUCUUGGCUGUCUUGCCACUGGUUUCACCCCCUCUUCAUUGACUUUCUCGUGGACUCAGGGCGGCAACAAUUUGGAAAAUAUCACACAGUACCCUUCAAUGCUGAAAAAUGACAAAUAUUUUGGAAUCAGUCAGGUUCAAGUCAGCCGACAGGACUGGGACGCCAAAAAGACUUUCAAGUGUGUUGCCAAUCAUGUAGGAGAGAGAACAACGUCUCCUAUUACUAAGCCAGAUGUCCUGUUUAGGUCGCCCAAUCUCACAACAAGUUUUUUCCUUGAUGAAGAAAAGCAACAGGCUUCUUUCUACUGCUUUGCCAAAGAUUUUUCUCCUAGGACCCAUGAGAUCAUUUGGCAGAAAGUUGGCAGUGAAAAAGCCAGCAUCCUUGAUGAGACCAGUGUUUUCUCAGAGGGAAGAAAUGACACAAAUGGAGCUAAGCUGUAUUCUGCAGCAAGUUUGCUCACAGUAAACCCCACUGAGCUGACUUCUGGAGCAACAUUUACAUGUGUGUUCAAGGGGAAAGGUGUGAACAAUACUGACGUGUUGGAAAAGGCUAAUGCCACCUACAAGGAAGAAUCUUCUGGAGGAAGUGCAGGAUGUACUCAGGCAGCUGUAGACUUAAAAAUCAUUGGCCCUACAUACAGGGACAUUCUUGUAAAACAAAGUGGAAAAAUAACAUGCCAAAUUCAAGUAAAUAACGGUCGGCUUGAAAAGAUUUUUUGGGAGAAUCAAGAUAACGUAGAAAUGGCUGGAACUGUAAAGACUGAAGGGUUAAAAAAGAAGGAGGAGCUUGUGCUUGACAUCACAUAUGAUGAAUGGCAUCAGGGAGUCGAACGCUACUGUGUUGUCCAACAUAAAGACAUUCUUUUCCCAUUCAAGAUCCAAUACAAGAGACAAAACAGCGGACCUGUUCAGCGUCCUUCAGUGUUUAUGUUGCCUCCUGUAGAACAUGCUAAAAACAAAGAGGUGACCCUGACUUGCUCUGUGAAAGACUUCUUCCCUGAGGAGGUAUUCGUAGCUUGGCUUGUUGAUGAUGAUGUAGUAGACUCAAAGUACAAGACCAGUACCACCAGUCCAGUAGAGAAAGAAGGAUCUUACUUGGUUUACAGCCAGUUAACCCUCACAGAUGAUCAGUGGAAACAGUCUGGUGUGGUGUACAGCUGUGCUGUUUACCACGAGUCCAUUACCAACUCCACCAGAUCCAUUGUCAGAUCCAUUGGUUUCAGCACAGCUGAUAAAAACAACCUGGUCAACCUCAACCUGAACAUCUCUGAAAAGUGCAAGGCGUAGUAGAUGUUGUUUGUUGUUGUCUACUUUUUCUUUCCUGUUUGUACUUUGUGAUGAGUCAU